AGAGUUUGAUCCUGGCUCAGAUUGAACGCUGGCGGCAGGCCUAACACAUGCAAGUCGAGCGGUAGCACAGAGAGCUUGCUCUCGGGUGACGAGCGGCGGACGGGUGAGUAAUGUCUGGGAAACUGCCUGAUGGAGGGGGAUAACUACUGGAAACGGUAGCUAAUACCGCAUAAUGUCGCAAGACCAAAGUGGGGGACCUUCGGGCCUCAUGCCAUCAGAUGUGCCCAGAUGGGAUUAGCUAGUAGGUGGGGUAACGGCUCACCUAGGCGACGAUCCCUAGCUGGUCUGAGAGGAUGACCAGCCACACUGGAACUGAGACACGGUCCAGACUCCUACGGGAGGCAGCAGUGGGGAAUAUUGCACAAUGGGCGCAAGCCUGAUGCAGCCAUGCCGCGUGUGUGAAGAAGGCCUUCGGGUUGUAAAGCACUUUCAGCGGGGAGGAAGGCGUUAAGGUUAAUAACCUUGGCGAUUGACGUUACCCGCAGAAGAAGCACCGGCUAACUCCGUGCCAGCAGCCGCGGUAAUACGGAGGGUGCAAGCGUUAAUCGGAAUUACUGGGCGUAAAGCGCACGCAGGCGGUCUGUCAAGUCGGAUGUGAAAUCCCCGGGCUCAACCUGGGAACUGCAUUCGAAACUGGCAGGCUAGAGUCUUGUAGAGGGGGGUAGAAUUCCAGGUGUAGCGGUGAAAUGCGUAGAGAUCUGGAGGAAUACCGGUGGCGAAGGCGGCCCCCUGGACAAAGACUGACGCUCAGGUGCGAAAGCGUGGGGAGCAAACAGGAUUAGAUACCCUGGUAGUCCACGCCGUAAACGAUGUCGAUUUGGAGGUUGUGCCCUUGAGGCGUGGCUUCCGGAGCUAACGCGUUAAAUCGACCGCCUGGGGAGUACGGCCGCAAGGUUAAAACUCAAAUGAAUUGACGGGGGCCCGCACAAGCGGUGGAGCAUGUGGUUUAAUUCGAUGCAACGCGAAGAACCUUACCUGGUCUUGACAUCCACAGAACUUUCCAGAGAUGGAUUGGUGCCUUCGGGAACUGUGAGACAGGUGCUGCAUGGCUGUCGUCAGCUCGUGUUGUGAAAUGUUGGGUUAAGUCCCGCAACGAGCGCAACCCUUAUCCUUUGUUGCCAGCGGUUCGGCCGGGAACUCAAAGGAGACUGCCAGUGAUAAACUGGAGGAAGGUGGGGAUGACGUCAAGUCAUCAUGGCCCUUACGACCAGGGCUACACACGUGCUACAAUGGCAUAUACAAAGAGAAGCGACCUCGCGAGAGCAAGCGGACCUCAUAAAGUAUGUCGUAGUCCGGAUUGGAGUCUGCAACUCGACUCCAUGAAGUCGGAAUCGCUAGUAAUCGUAGAUCAGAAUGCUACGGUGAAUACGUUCCCGGGCCUUGUACACACCGCCCGUCACACCAUGGGAGUGGGUUGCA
This 1419-nucleotide ribosomal RNA is filed under the name uncultured bacterium. RNAcentral describes it as "16S ribosomal RNA". It matches the Rfam family "Bacterial small subunit ribosomal RNA". The record is from RNAcentral.